Molecule: ribosomal RNA, 425 nt
Filed under: uncultured bacterium
Lineage: Bacteria
Description: partial 16S ribosomal RNA
Rfam family: Bacterial small subunit ribosomal RNA
Source: RNAcentral
GUUAGGAAUAUUGGACAAUGGGCGCAAGCCUGAUCCAGCCAUGCCGCGUGAGUGAUGAUGGCCUUCGGGUUGUAAAGCUCUUUAGCCGAUGAUUAUAAUGACUGUAGUCGGAAAAUAAGCCCCGGCUAACUUCGUGCCAGCAGCCGCGGUAAUACGAAGGGGGCGAGCGUUAUUCGGAAUCACUGGGCGUAAAGCGUGCGUAGGUGGUUUUGUAAGUUAGGAGUGAAAGCCCAGGGCUCGACCUUGGAAUUGCUCUUAAAACUGCAAGGCUAGAAUCUCGGAGAGGAUAGCGGAAUUUCCCGUGUAGCAGUGAAAUGCGUAGAUAUUGGAAGGAACACCAGUGGCGUAAGCGGCUAUCUGGACGAGUAUUGACGCUGAGGCACGAAAGCGUGGGGAUCAAACAGGAUUAGAAACCCCAGUAGUCC